GAUGAACGCUGGCGGCGUGCCUAAUACAUGCAAGUCGAACGAAGAUCUAGCUUGCUAGAUCUUAGUGGCGAACGGGUGAGUAAUACAUAAAUAAUCUGCCCAUAUGACUGGGAUAACUAUUGGAAACGAUAGCUAAUACCGGAUAGGUUGAUCGGAGGCAUCUCUGAUGAAUUAAAGUAGGAUUUCUACACAAAUGGAUGAGUUUAUGGCGCAUUAGUUAGUUGGUGGGGUAACGGCCUACCAAGACGAUGAUGCGUAGCCGACCUGAGAGGGUGACCGGGCACACUAGGACUGAGACACGGCCCAGACUCCUACGGGAGGCAGCAGUAGUGAAUGUUCGUCAAUGGGCGCAAGCCUGACCGAGCAACGCCGCGUGAGUGAGUAAGGCCUUCGGGUUGUAAAGCUCUGUUGUAAGGGAAGAACAUUCAGGAUAGGAAAUGAUCUUGAACUGACGGUACCUUACCAGAAAGCCACGGCUAACUACGUGCCAGCCGCCGCGGUAA
This 503-nucleotide ribosomal RNA is filed under the name uncultured bacterium. RNAcentral's name for it is "partial 16S ribosomal RNA". It matches the Rfam family "Bacterial small subunit ribosomal RNA", at positions 28 to 523 of the family's 1533-position model. The record is from RNAcentral.